This 293-nucleotide ribosomal RNA is filed under the name uncultured microorganism. RNAcentral describes it as "partial 16S ribosomal RNA". It matches the Rfam family "Bacterial small subunit ribosomal RNA", at positions 505 to 796 of the family's 1533-position model. The record is from RNAcentral.
GUGCCAGCAGCCGCGGUAAUACGGAGGGUGCGAGCGUUAAUCGGAAUUACUGGGCGUAAAGCGCGCGUAGGUGGCUUGAUAAGCCGGUUGUGAAAGCCCCGGGCUCAACCUGGGAACGGCAUCCGGAACUGUCAGGCUAGAGUGCAGGAGAGGAAGGUAGAAUUCCCGGUGUAGCGGUGAAAUGCGUAGAGAUCGGGAGGAAUACCAGUGGCGAAGGCGGCCUCCUGGACUGACACUGACACUGAGGUGCGAAAGCGUGGCGUAGCAAACAGGAUUAGAUACCCUGGUAGUCC